AGAGAAAAAUUUGCUGCUUGAAUUCAAGAGAGUGGCUGGUUUAGCUAGCUGAGAAAAGAUGAGGGUAGGCAACUUUUGCCAAGAAACGGUGGAAUUGGAUGCCGCAAAGCUAGAAGUAGAAAAUUGGACACAAACCAAUGAUAGGAAGGGAAAAAAUGGACAAGAAUACGAAAAAGCUUUGAGAAUCACAUGACACUGGAUU
This 202-nucleotide long non-coding RNA is filed under the name Glycine max (soybean). RNAcentral describes it as "long non-coding RNA (GMAX_LNC002654)". The record is from RNAcentral. Lineage: Eukaryota; Viridiplantae; Streptophyta; Magnoliopsida; Fabales; Fabaceae.